AANNGGGGAAACCCUGAUCCAGCAAUGCCGCGUGUGUNAAGAAGGCCUUCNNGUUGUAAAGCACUUNCAGUGGGCUAGUAAUUNUCAAGGCUAAUACCCUNUGAGCGUUGACGUUACCCACAGAAGAAGCACNGGCUAACUCUGUGCCAGCAGCCGCGGUAAUNCANAGAGUGCNAGCGUUAAUCGGAAUCACUGGGCGUAAAGCGCGNGUAGGUGGAUAUUUAAGUCGGAUGUGAAAGCCCUAGGCUUAACCUCGGNAUUACAUCCGAUACUAGGUAUCUCGAGUAUGAUAGACGGAAGUGGAAUUUCCGGUGUANCGGUGAAAUGCGUAGAUAUCGGAAAGAACAUCAGUGGCGAAGGCGGCUUCUUGGAGCAAUACUGACANUGAGGCGCGAAAGCGUGGGGAGCAAACANGAUUAGAGACCCUGGU
Molecule: ribosomal RNA, 430 nt
Filed under: Coxiella endosymbiont of Rhipicephalus turanicus
Lineage: Bacteria; Pseudomonadati; Pseudomonadota; Gammaproteobacteria; Legionellales; Coxiellaceae
Description: partial 16S ribosomal RNA
Rfam family: Bacterial small subunit ribosomal RNA
Source: RNAcentral